AGAGUUUGAUUAUGGCUCAGAAUGAACGCUGGCGGCAUGGCUAAGACAUGCAAGUCGAACGAACUAUCUUGAAGAGUAAUCGGACAGAUAGUGAGUGGCGCAAGGGUGAGGAAUGGAUAGGUAACAUACCUCGGGCUCCGGAAUAGCUCAUCGAAAGGUGGGGUAAUGCCGGAUGAUGUCCUGUGUUAAAUGCACGGGACCAAAGAUUUAUCGGCCUGGGAGUGGCCUAUUCCCUAUCAGCUUGUUGGUGAGGUAACGGCUCACCAAGGCGACGACGGGUAGCGGGACUGAGAGGUUGACCCGCCACAUCGGGACUGUGACGCUGCCCGGACCUCCACGGAGGGCUGCAGUAACGAAUAUUGGGCAAUGGGCGAAAGCCUGACCCAGCAAUGCCGCGUGUAGGAUGAAGCUUUUCGGAGUGUAAACUACUUUCAGGGAUUAGAAAGCUACGGUUGAUCAAUCCCAGAAGAAGUCACGGCUAACUUCGUGCCAGCAGCCGCGGUAAUACGAAGGUGGCAAGCGUUAUUCGAAAUCACUGGGCUUAAAGGGCGCGUAGGCGGAUAUGUAGGUGUCAGGUGAAAACCCCCGGCUUAACCGGGGAACGGCCUGGCAAACGGCAUAUCUUGAGUCAAGUAGGGGUGUGUGGAACUCUUGGUGGAGCGGUGGAAUGCGUAGAUAUCAAGAGGAACGCCGAAGGUGAAGACAGCACACUGGGCUUGAACUGACGCUGAGGCGCGAAAGCGUGGGGAGCAAACAGGAUUAGAUACCCUGGUAGUCCACGCCGUAAACGAUGUAUACUAG
Molecule: ribosomal RNA, 801 nt
Filed under: uncultured Planctomycetota bacterium
Lineage: Bacteria; Pseudomonadati; Planctomycetota
Description: bacterial SSU rRNA
Rfam family: Bacterial small subunit ribosomal RNA
Source: RNAcentral